UACGUAGGGGGCAAGCGUUGUCCGGAAUUAUUGGGCGUAAAGAGCGCGUAGGCGGUCCGAUAAGUCGGCUGUGAAAGUCAGGGGCUCAACCCUUGGAAGCCGGCCGAUACUGUCGGACUAGAGUCCGGAAGAGGCGAGUGGAAUUCCCGGUGUAGCGGUGAAAUGCGCAGAUAUCAGGAGGAACACCGGUGGCGAAGGCGGAUCUCUGGGCCUUACCUGACGCUGAGGCGCGAAAGCUAGGGGAGCGAACAGG
Molecule: ribosomal RNA, 253 nt
Filed under: uncultured bacterium
Lineage: Bacteria
Description: partial 16S ribosomal RNA
Rfam family: Bacterial small subunit ribosomal RNA
Source: RNAcentral